AGAUUGAACGCUGGCGGCAUGCCUUACACACGCAAGUCGAACGGCAGCACGGGAGCAAUCCUGGUGGCGAGUGGCGAACGGGUGAGUAAUAUAUCGGAACGUGCCCAGUCGUGGGGGAUAACGCAGCGAAAGCUGUGCUAAUACCGCAUACGAUCUAUGGAUGAAAGCGGGGGAUCGCAAGACCUCGCGCGAUUGGAGCGGCCGAUAUCAGAUUAGCUAGUUGGUGGGGUAAAAGCCUACCAAGGCGACGAUCUGUAGCUGGUCUGAGAGGACGACCAGCCACACUGGAACUGAGACACGUCCAGACUCCUACGGGAGCAGCAGUGGGGAAUUUUGGACAAGUGGGCG
RNAcentral lists this ribosomal RNA (348 nucleotides) under uncultured soil bacterium. Its description in RNAcentral is "bacterial SSU rRNA". It matches the Rfam family "Bacterial small subunit ribosomal RNA", at positions 26 to 377 of the family's 1533-position model. The record is from RNAcentral.